This 568-nucleotide ribosomal RNA is filed under the name Oenococcus oeni. RNAcentral's name for it is "bacterial SSU rRNA". It matches the Rfam family "Bacterial small subunit ribosomal RNA", at positions 1 to 534 of the family's 1533-position model. The record is from RNAcentral. Lineage: Bacteria; Bacillati; Bacillota; Bacilli; Lactobacillales; Lactobacillaceae.
UUUAAAUUGAGAGUUUGAUCCUGGCUCAGGAUGAACGCUGGUGGCGUGCCUAAUACAUGCAAGUCGUACGCUAGCCGCUGAAUUGAUCCUUCGGGUGAAGUGAGGCAAUGACUAGAGUGGCGAACUGGUGAGUAACACGUAAGAAACCUGCCCUUUAGUGGGGGAUAACAUUUGGAAACAGAUGCUAAUACCGCGUAACAACAAAUCACACAUGUGAUCUGUUUGAAAGGUCCUUUUGGAUCGCUAGAGGAUGGUCUUGCGGCGUAUUAGCUUGUUGGUAGGGUAGAAGCCUACCAAGGCAAUGAUGCGUAGCCGAGUUGAGAGACUGGCCGGCCACAUUGGGACUGAGACACUGCCCAAACUCCUACGGGAGGCUGCAGUAGGGAAUUUUCCGCAAUGCACGAAAGUGUGACGGAGCGACGCCGCGUGUGUGAUGAAGGCUUUCGGGUCGUAAAGCACUGUUGUAAGGGAAGAAUAACUGAAUUCAGAGAAAGUUUUCAGCUUGACGGUACCUUACCAGAAAGGGAUGGCUAAAUACGUGCCAGCAGCCGCGGUAAUACGUAUGUCC